GAUGAACGCUGGCGGCGUGCCUAAUACAUGCAAGUCGAGCGAACAGACGAGGAGCUUGCUCCUCUGACGUUAGCGGCGGACGGGUGAGUAACACGUGGAUAACCUACCUAUAAGACUGGGAUAACUUCGGGAAACCGGAGCUAAUACCGGAUAAUAUAUUGAACCGCAUGGUUCAAUAGUGAAAGACAGUUUUGCUGUCACUUAUAGAUGGAUCCGCGCCGCAUUAGCUAGUUGGUAAGGUAACGGCUUACCAAGGCAACGAUGCGUAGCCGACCUGAGAGGGUGAUCGGCCACACUGGAACUGAGACACGGUCCAGACUCCUACGGGAGGCAGCAGUAGGGAAUCUGCCGCAAUGGGCGAAAGCCUGACGGAGCAACGCCGCGUGAGUGAUGAAGGUCUUCGGAUCGUAAAACUCUGUUAUUAGGGAAGAACAAAUGUGUAAGUAACUAUGCACGUCUUGACGGUACCUAAUCAGAAAGCCACGGCUAACUACGUG
RNAcentral lists this ribosomal RNA (497 nucleotides) under uncultured bacterium. RNAcentral describes it as "partial 16S ribosomal RNA". It matches the Rfam family "Bacterial small subunit ribosomal RNA", at positions 28 to 507 of the family's 1533-position model. The record is from RNAcentral.